RNAcentral lists this unclassified non-coding RNA (1446 nucleotides) under uncultured Eurotiales. RNAcentral's name for it is "sequence contains 18S rRNA gene, ITS1, 5.8S rRNA gene, ITS2, 28S rRNA gene". The stretch from base 506 to 1446 matches the Rfam family "Eukaryotic large subunit ribosomal RNA", at positions 1 to 961 of the family's 3401-position model. Lineage: Eukaryota; Fungi; Ascomycota; Eurotiomycetes; Eurotiales. The record is from RNAcentral.
GGAAGGAUCAUUAAUGAGUGCAGACCCUCUGGGUCUAACCUCCCACCCGUGUCUAUUGUACCUUGUUGCUUCGGUGGGCCCGCCGUCAGGCCGCCGGGGGACGCUGUCCCCGGGCCCGCGCCCGCCGAAGACACCCUGGAACUCUGUCUGUGAGUGUUGUCUGAGUGGAAUUUAAAUCAGUUAAAACUUUCAACAACGGAUCUCUUGGUUCCGGCAUCGAUGAAGAACGCAGCGAAAUGCGAUAAGUAAUGUGAAUUGCAGAAUUCAGUGAAUCAUCGAGUCUUUGAACGCACAUUGCGCCCCCUGGUAUUCCGGGGGGCAUGCCUGUCCGAGCGUCAUUGCACCCCUCAAGCCCGGCUUGUUCUUGGGUCGUGUCUCUCCAUCUCGGGGAGACAGGCCUUAAACGCAAUGGCGGCACCGCGUCCGGUCCUCGAGCGUAUGGGGCUUCGUCACCCGCUUCGUAGGCCGGCCGGUCGCUUGCUCUCCAACCCCAAUCUUCUUAGGUUGACCUCGGAUCAGGUAGGGAUACCCGCUGAACUUAAGCAUAUCAAUAAGCGGAGGAAAAGAAACCAACAGGGAUUGCCUCAGUAACGGCGAGUGAAGCGGCAAGAGCUCAAAUUUGAAAGCUGGCUCCUUCGGGGUCCGCAUUGUAAUUUGCAGAGGAUGCUUCGGGAGCGGCCCCCAUCUAAGUGCCCUGGAACGGGCCGUCAUAGAGGGUGAGAAUCCCGUCUGGGAUGGGGUGCCCGCGCCCGUGUGAAGCUCCUUCGACGAGUCGAGUUGUUUGGGAAUGCAGCUCUAAAUGGGUGGUAAAUUUCAUCUAAAGCUAAAUAUUGGCCGGAGACCGAUAGCGCACAAGUAGAGUGAUCGAAAGAUGAAAAGCACUUUGAAAAGAGAGUUAAAAAGCACGUGAAAUUGUUGAAAGGGAAGCGCUUGCGACCAGACUCGCCCGCGGGGUUCAGCCGGUAUUCGUACCGGUGUACUUCCCCGUGGGCGGGCCAGCGUCGGUUUGGGCGGCCGGUCAAAGGCCCUCGGAAUGUAACGCCUCUCGGGGCGUCUUAUAGCCGAGGGUGCCAUGCGGCCAGCCCGGACCGAGGAACGCGCUUCGGCACGGACGCUGGCAUAAUGGUCGUAAGCGACCCGUCUUGAAACACGGACCAAGGAGUCUAACAUCUACGCGAGUGUUCGGGUGUCAAACCCGUGCGCGCAGUGAAAGCGAACGGAGGUGGGAACCCUUUGGGUGCACCAUCGACCGAUCCUGAUGUCUUCGGAUGGAUUUGAGUAAGAGCGUAGCUGUUGGGACCCGAAAGAUGGUGAACUAUGCCUGAAUAGGGCGAAGCCAGAGGAAACUCUGGUGGAGGCUCGCAGCGGUUCUGACGUGCAAAUCGAUCGUCAAAUUUGGGUAUAGGGGCGAAAGACUAAUCGAACCAUCUAGUAGCUGGUUCCUGC